UGACCAUGCUGGAUUGUGGAAGACAAUUCAUGACAAUUCCAGCAAUAUGGCGUUCACACUGUGGACAUUCUUCGAAGCAACUUUGUUAUGUUUGAAUGCGAUUUGUGUUCUGAACGAGGAAAGAUUUCUCGCGAAAGUUGGUUGGGCGUCAUGGCAAAAUGUACAAGGAUUUGGAGAACCUCCGACAGCUAAGUCGCAAAUAUUAAAUCUCAUCAAGUCGAUACGAACUGUGAUGAGGGUUCCUCUGAUAUUCUUCAAUAUCUUGACAUUAGUCAUAAAGCUCAUACUUGGUUGAUAGAGAAGAGAUAUAGGACAGGAAUGUGCGAAUGGAAUGCGCUGUGUGCAAGUUUACGUGUUGAAAAUAAUAUUGAUUAUUGUAACACAAUACUCUCUGUGAUCCAAGCA
Molecule: RNA transcript, 405 nt
Organism: Mycetomoellerius zeteki
Lineage: Eukaryota; Metazoa; Arthropoda; Insecta; Hymenoptera; Formicidae
Gene name: immediate early response 3-interacting protein 1
Exons: 4
Source: RefSeq, a predicted model, not a curated record